RNAcentral lists this small nuclear RNA (22 nucleotides) under Arabidopsis thaliana (thale cress). RNAcentral describes it as "snRNA_11203". The record is from RNAcentral. Lineage: Eukaryota; Viridiplantae; Streptophyta; Magnoliopsida; Brassicales; Brassicaceae.
UGCAGAUUCUGACAACAACGAG